ACAGCAGUAGCCGCGGGAAUACGGAGGGUGCAAGCGUUAUCCGGAUUUACUGGGUUUAAAGGGUGUGUAGGCGGGUAUUUAAGUCAGUGGUGAAAUCUCCGAGCUCAACUUGGAAACUGCCAUUGAUACUAUUUAUCUUGAAUUUUGUUGAGGUAGGCGGAAUAAGUCAUGUAGCGGUGAAAUGCAUAGAUAUGACUUAGAACACCAAUUGCGAAGGCAGCUUGCUAAACAAAUAUUGACGCUGAGGCACGAAAGCGUGGGGAUCAAACAGGAUUAGAUACCCCAGUAGUCCCUGUCUCUUAUAC
RNAcentral lists this ribosomal RNA (305 nucleotides) under uncultured bacterium. Its description in RNAcentral is "partial 16S ribosomal RNA". It matches the Rfam family "Bacterial small subunit ribosomal RNA", at positions 508 to 807 of the family's 1533-position model. The record is from RNAcentral.